This 344-nucleotide ribosomal RNA is filed under the name uncultured bacterium. RNAcentral's name for it is "bacterial SSU rRNA". It matches the Rfam family "Bacterial small subunit ribosomal RNA", at positions 8 to 334 of the family's 1533-position model. The record is from RNAcentral.
AGGGUUCGAUCCUGGCUCAGGAUGAACGCUGGCGGCGUGCUUAACACAUGCAAGUCGAACGAAGCAGCUUUAAAGAGACCUUCGGGUGGAAUUAAAGGUGACUGAGUGGCGGACGGGUGAGUAACGCGUGGGUAACCUGCCUCAUACAGGGGGAUAACAGUUAGAAAUGACUGCUAAUACCGCAUAAGCGCACAGGAUCGCAUGGUCUGGUGUGAAAAACUCCGGUGGUAUGAGAUGGACCCGCGUCUGAUUAGGUAGUUGGUGAGGUAACGGCUCACCAAGCCGACGAUCAGUAGCCGACCUGAGAGGGUGAUCGGCCACAUUGGGACUGAGACACGGCCCAA